Molecule: ribosomal RNA, 515 nt
Filed under: uncultured bacterium
Lineage: Bacteria
Description: bacterial SSU rRNA
Rfam family: Bacterial small subunit ribosomal RNA
Source: RNAcentral
CGCUGGCGGCGUGCCUAAUACAUACAAGUCGAACGCACUCUCGUUUAGAUUGAAGGAGCUUGCUCCUGAUUGAUAAACAUUUGAGUGAGUGGCGGACGGGUGAGUAACACGUGGGUAACCUGCCCUAAAGUGGGGGAUAACAUUUGGAAACAGAUGCUAAUACCGCAUAAAACCUAACAUCGCAUGGUGUAGGGUUGAAAGAUGGUUUCGGCUAUCACUUUAGGAUGGACCCGCGGUGCAUUAGUUAGUUGGUGAGGUAAAAGGCUCACCAAGACCGUGAUGCAUAGCCGACCUGAGAGGGUAAUCGGCCACACUGGGACUGAGACACGGCCCAGACUCCUACGGGAGGCAGCAGUAGGGAAUCUUCCACAAUGGACGAAAGUCUGAUGGAGCAACGCCGCGUGAGUGAAGAAGGUUUUCGGAUCGUAAAACUCUGUUGUUGGAGAAGAAUGUAUCUGAUAGUAACUGAUCAGGUAGUGACGGUAUCCAACCAGAAAGCCACGGCUAACUACGUG